Molecule: ribosomal RNA, 119 nt
Organism: Gadus morhua (Atlantic cod)
Lineage: Eukaryota; Metazoa; Chordata; Actinopteri; Gadiformes; Gadidae
Source: Ensembl
GCUUAUGGCCAUACCACCUUAGGCACGCCCGAUCUCGUCUGAUCUCGGAAGCUAAGCAGCGUCGGGCCUGGUUAGUACUUGGAUGGGUGACCGCCUGGGAAUACCAGGUGCUGUAAGCA